Molecule: ribosomal RNA, 339 nt
Filed under: uncultured bacterium
Lineage: Bacteria
Description: bacterial SSU rRNA
Rfam family: Bacterial small subunit ribosomal RNA
Source: RNAcentral
ACUCCUACGGGAGGCAGCAGUGGGAAUAUUGCACAAUGGGCGCAAGCCUGAUGCAGCCAUGCCGCGUGUGUGAAGAAGGCCUUCGGGUUGUAAAGCACUUUCAGUCGUGAGGAAGGGUAGUGUAGUUUAAUAGCUGUAUUAUUUGACGUUAGCGACAGAAGAAGCACCGGCUAACUCCGUGCCAGCAGCCGCGGGUAAUACGGAGGGUGCGAGCGUUAAUCGGAAUUACUGGGCGUAAAGCGCAUGCAGGUGGUUUGUUAAGUCAGAUGUGAAAGCCCGGGGCUCAACCUCGGAAUUGCAUUUGAAACUGGCAGACUAGAGUACUGUAGAGGGGGUGAG